This 504-nucleotide ribosomal RNA is filed under the name Sarcocystis suihominis. RNAcentral's name for it is "SSU rRNA". It matches the Rfam family "Eukaryotic small subunit ribosomal RNA", at positions 502 to 959 of the family's 1831-position model. Lineage: Eukaryota; Apicomplexa; Conoidasida; Eucoccidiorida; Sarcocystidae. The record is from RNAcentral.
CUAGUGAUUGGAAUGAUGGGAAUCCAAACCCCUGUUCAGAGUAACAAUUGGAGGGCAAGUCUGGUGCCAGCAGCCGCGGUAAUUCCAGCUCCAAUAGCGUAUAUUAAAGUUGUUGCAGUUAAAAAGCUCGUAGUUGGAUGUCUGUUGGAAGCAAUCAUCAGUCCGCCCUAUUUGAUUAGGGUGUGAAUAUGAUGAAUUCCGGCAUAAUUGUCUCCCUGUUAUUAAUAAGACGAUUAUUAUUAGAUUCAUUUCUAAUAAUAAUACGUCUAUAUUGAUAAUGUGGGAGAAAUGUUACUUUGAGAAAAUUAGAGUGUUUGAAGCAGGCUUUUGUUGCCUUGAAUACUGCAGCAUGGAAUAACAAUAUAGGAUUUCGGUUCUAUUUUGUUGGUUCUUUUUUUAGGACUGAAAUAAUGAUUAAUAGGGACAGUUGGGGGCAUUCGUAUUUAACUGUCAGAGGUGAAAUUCUUAGAUUUGUUAAAGCGAACUACUGCGAAAGCAUUUGCC